GCUUCCAAGAAAAGCUCUAAACACCAUAAACAUUCACUGCCUGUACCCGAAACCGACACAGGUAGGGAGGUUGAGAAUACCAAGGGGCGCGAGAUAACUCUCUCUAAGGAACUCGGCAAAAUGGCCCCGUAACUUCGGAAGAAGGGGUGCCCACCUCAGACGUGGGUCGCAGUGAAGAGAUCCAGGCGACUGUUUACCAAAAACACAGGUCUCCGCAAAGUCGAAUGACGACGUAUGGGGGCUGACGCCUGCCCAGUGCCGGAAGGUUAAGGAAGUCGGUCAGGGCGCAAGCCUAAAGCUGGCGACUGAAGCCCCGGUGAACGGCGGCCGUAACUAUAACGGUCCUAAGGUAGCGAAAUUCCUUGUCGGGUAAGUUCCGACCUGCACGAAUGGCGUAACGACUUCCCCGCUGUCUCGACCAUGAGCUCGGCGAAAUUGCAGUACGAGUAAAGAUGCUCGUUACGCGCGGCAGGACGAAAAGACCCCGGGACCUUCACUAUAGCUUGGUAUUGGUGUUCGAUUCGGUUUGUGUAGGAUAGGUGGGAGACUGUGAAGCAUUGGCGCCAGCUGGUGUGGAGUCAUUGUUGAAAUACCACUCUGGUCACUUUGGAUAUCUAACUAGGAACCGUGAUCCGGUUCUGGGACAGUGCCUGGUGGGUAGUUUAACUGGGGCGGUUGCCUCCUAAAGAGUAACGGAGGCGCCCAAAGGUUCCCUCAGAAUGGUUGGAAAUCAUUCGUAGAGUGCAAAGGCAGAAGGGAGCUUGACUGCGAGACUUACAAGUCGAGCAGGGACGAAAGUCGGGACUAGUGAUCCGGCACCUACUUGUGGAAGUGGUGUCGCUCAACGGAUAAAAGGUAC
RNAcentral lists this ribosomal RNA (859 nucleotides) under Schizochytrium aggregatum. Its description in RNAcentral is "partial Bacterial large subunit ribosomal RNA". It matches the Rfam family "Bacterial large subunit ribosomal RNA", at positions 1604 to 2466 of the family's 2925-position model. Lineage: Eukaryota; Bigyra; Thraustochytrida; Thraustochytriidae. The record is from RNAcentral.